GGCCCCAGCACCAGUCCGCUCUUCGGGGGGAAAGCCGCCGCCGCGUACUCCCGGGAACCCGAGCCGCCGCACCGCAUCUCCGAGACCGACCACCCGCUGCCCCGGAAGGACCGCCGCUUCGAGGGCUGCUGCUCUACGUGUGUCGUGUCUGUGGAUGGACUGCCGUCGUGCUCCCCGGUCAACUAUGGGCGAACACAAGGUCGACUUCAACCGCUACAGACUUAUCUCCUAGGCAGACAGCACUGAGCAGCUACAAGCAGCCCACAACCUAACCAAGGAGCAUGUGGCGCCGGACAACCUACGAAAAAUGAACUUUAGACUUGCAGUUCAGCUCUUCAGUCACAGCACUGCUUGUGGCCUGAGUCUACUAGCGGCUCAGCUACACUGGCCUUGAAAACUGCGGAGGAACUGUGAAGUUCACUUGAAGAAUGAAUGACGUCUUCAACGCACUAAGUGUGAAGCUGCCUGCCCAAGGUAUAAAAGGAUAUUCAAAGGAAAUCAAGGUAAACAUAAAAGCGCCACUGGAUACUGUAUUAAGUGAAA
Long non-coding RNA from Ixodes scapularis (black-legged tick), 543 nucleotides. RefSeq lists it as uncharacterized. NCBI's taxonomy places the organism in Eukaryota, Metazoa, Arthropoda, Arachnida, Ixodida, Ixodidae. The record is from RefSeq and is a predicted model, not a curated record. The transcript has 3 exons.